AACGAACGCUGGCGGCAUGCCUAACACAUGCAAGUCGAACGAGACCUUCGGGUCUAGUGGCGCACGGGUGCGUAACGCGUGGGAACCUGCCCUUAGGUCCGGAAUAACUCCCCGAAAGGGGUGCUAAUACCGGAUAAUGUCUUCGGACCAAAGAUUUAUCGCCUUUGGAUGGGCCCGCGUUGGAUUAGCUAGUUGGUAGGGUAAAAGCCUACCAAGGAGACGAUCCAUAGCUGGUCUGAGAGGAUGAUCAGCCACACUGGGACUGGGACCCGGCCCAGACUCCUUCGGGGGGCAGCCGUGGGGAAUAUUGGACCAUGGGCGGAAGCCUGAUCCAGCAAUGCCGCGUGAGUGAUGAAGGCCUUAGGGUUGUAAAGCUCUUUUACCCGGGAUGAUAAUGACAGUACCGUGAGAAUAAGCUCCGGCUAACUCCGUG
RNAcentral lists this ribosomal RNA (433 nucleotides) under uncultured bacterium. RNAcentral's name for it is "partial 16S ribosomal RNA". It matches the Rfam family "Bacterial small subunit ribosomal RNA", at positions 29 to 507 of the family's 1533-position model. The record is from RNAcentral.